Dendronephthya gigantea is the source of this 4736-nucleotide RNA transcript. It is a transcript of the gene named unconventional myosin-VI-like, with no coding region annotated. Lineage: Eukaryota; Metazoa; Cnidaria; Anthozoa; Malacalcyonacea; Nephtheidae. The record is from RefSeq and is a predicted model, not a curated record. The transcript is spliced from 13 exons.
UGGGCCACCUGAUGAUGAUGAUCAGCAGACGAUGACAGAUGAUGAUGGACUGCCCGAUGACAGAAGAUGAUGGACUGAAGACUAGUUUGAUGGGUGGUAUUAUUCAGUUUUCUUGCAUUCUAUCCUGUGCAUGCUUGUUUUCCUGGUGGUCUGCACUGAAUGUGUAAUACAUUAAGUGAAAUUCCUAUUUCCCAUUUUGACAUUGAUGAUAAAUAAAAAUUCCGGAUUGCAUGCAGAACAAUUAAAUUAAUGUAUACAGCAUGUUUGAUUCUUUGAAAAUGCAUGUUCCUGUUUUAUCACUUAAUGUGUAAUGCAAUUGGUGAAAUUAAUGCAUGAUAUUACUAAAGUAUCCAAUGGUGCAGCUGAAAAUGAUGAAGCAUGAACUCAACUUGAAGAAUGGAAUUCGUACACAGGUAACUGUGAACAAGAACCAGGUAUGCAUAUGAUUGUAUUUGUUUGUUGGCACGUAAGGCAUUGGCAUCAAAAAUUUGCAACAAAAUAUUACAGUAAUGCGCCACAAGAUUGAUUUCUGUCAGUGCAUGUGCGAAUGAAAAUAGCCAAAAUAAUAGCAUGAAUUAUAGGUGGUUGAUGUAUUUUAACAGGUAUCAGAUCCGAAAUUAGCUGUAAAAUAUUUCGGUUAUGCAUGCCACAAUUUAACAUAAAAUACAUUGUUUUAAUUAGGGUAUAAUUGGCUUUCUAAGUGCAUGUGAUGGUAAAAAUAUUUGCCAGAGUAAUUUAUAAUAGCAUGAUUAUAGACGACCGUAUUCUUACAUGUAUAAGAUCAACAAUUAGGUGUAAAAAUAUUUUGUUUAUGCAUGCUACAACAUAGAACACAUUGCUCUAAUUAGGAAAAUUGAUUUUCUAGGUGCAUGUGACGGUAAAAAUAAUUGCCAGAGUAAUAGCAUGAUUAUAUACGACCGUAGUUAAUUCUUACAUGUAUAAGAGCAAAAACUAGCUGUAAAAAAUUUUGUUUAUGCAUGCCACAACAUAAAAUACAUUGCUCCAAUUAGGGUAAUUGACUUUUCAAGUGCAUGUGAUGGUAAAAAUAAUUGCAUAACAUGUAUAAGAUCAAAAAUUAUCUGAAAAAUAUUUUGUUUAUGCAUGCCACAACAUAAAAUACAUUGCUCUAAUUAGGGAAAUUGACUUUUAAGGACUUGCAAAACCAGUUAAGUAAAUUAUAAAUACAAUAUAUUAUAAUAAUUUUUUAUUUAUUUCUAUUUAUCAAGUAAAAAUAGUUGCCAAAUAGUUAGCAAGUUUAGUUAAAUAUUACCGGCCGGUAUAGACAGCAGAUUAGUUUAGUUUUCAUAGGAUAGUGAAUGGUAAUAGUUUAGUUUAGCUAUGCUCUAUAAGGAUUUUUUUACUUCUAAUCUAUCAGAGUUUACAUUGAAACCUGGAACUUUAAUAAAUUAAAUAAAUUUUUAUUUAUCAGUUUUUAUUUUCGAAGUUCGUGGGAAAGCAUGAAAAUAGCAUAUAGAAAAAGAAAUUGAUGAUAUUUUGAUGGUUAGAAUAAGUUCGAAUCUUGAAUAGAAUGAAGUGUAUUAAUUAAGGGUGAAGGUUAAUUGGAAUCAAUUUGUGAAUGGAAUAAUUAUCUAUUAUUAUUUAUUAUUAUAUAUUAUUAUGUUGAAAUAUCACCGUAAUUCUUCUAAAUUGGAUUUCUGGAACUUCAAGAAAUUUGUUCUGGUUUUUGAAAGGAGUUAUCUCUAGUGUUUUUUUGAUUACUUGUAUAUGAAAUGUUGCUUGCAAAAUAAUCGACACAAUAGAGAGUAAUUUGACUUCGUCUACAAUUGUACUGAUCUCUAUGUAGUAUUAUUACGUUUGUCAAGUCUUUGCAACUGAUCUCUAACAGCUAAUUAACUGAAUUAGUGAGAGUUACACGCGCUCGAUUUUUUUUGCCACUGAUCUCUAUACAGUCACUGGAUGACAUGCUUAUAUUUCUGCGUCUGAUCUCUAUGUAGUAACUGAACAACGCUAUUGCAGCUGAUCUCAAUAGAUUAAUAGGAAUAUCGAUUUGACCAGGUUAAAUAAACGAUAGUCGUCGAUUGUAACGAUGGAUUUAUGAUGAUAUAGAUUUUAAUGAUGUUUUACUUUGGCCAGGUUUUAUAACAAUGUUAAGAUAUUACUAAAAUUUUCUAAGGACUUGCAAAACCAGUUUGAAUAGAUUGAUGCAAUUCACUUCGGCCAGAAAUGGCACAAUCGACUUGACAACUGUCCCAGUGUAGCGUAGAUUUGGAUAUACAUACUGAGCGGUCAGCAUGGAUCCUGAAGAUUUCAAGUUUGGGUUGACGAAAGUAUUUUUUAGACCAGGAAAGUUAAGAUUAUUGUAUCAUUGUUAAAGUUAUUGAUUUAUUGAAAGGUUUCCACUAAAAUAUGGCUAAAUUCAUUUUCAUUUUUGUAAUUUGCAACAUUUGAUCAUAUAUUGCAGUCAGAUCCUGAGAGUCUAAAAGCUCUUGUAUCGAAAGUUUCAAGGUGGAUCAUUGUCAAUUGCUGGAAGAAAGUGAUAUGCAGUGGCAAACAAGAUCAAGUUCAGAGCAAAAGCUUGGGCCACGAUUCAGAAGACCGUCAAAAUGUUCCUCUUGUGGAAAUAACACCAGCCAAGUUUCAGGUUUAAAAACCGACAAGAAUGUUUUGACCACACAGAUUUUUGAUAUCGAAAAGGAAAUAUCAGCUGCUAUGCAGAAAAUCAAGAAGUAAGAACACGGUAAUGAGCCGUGAUCAGAUCGAGAAUCUCCACCGUGGUCUUGUGGCGAAGGUGCAUGGACAAACAAGUCGUAGAUUUACAGAAGCAAAAAGAACUUCAGGAGAAGAGGGAGGAAGAAGAGAAGUUGAGGAAAAUCAAAGAACAGAUGGAACUGGAAAGAAAAAGGCGAGAAGAGGAGGAAAGGAGAAGAAAACAACUCGAAGAAGAAGCGAGAAUUAAAGCUGAAAUGGAAGCCAAAAGGCGAAGGGCAGAAGAGGAAGAAAUGAAACGACGGGAACUUGAAAAAGCGAAACAGAAAGAAAUUGAGGAACAAUUAAGGAAAGAGGAUGAAGAGGCAAAAUCUCGACAAGCUGCUCUUGAACAAGAGAGAUUAGAUCACGAACUGGCCUUGCGUUUGGCAAAGGAAUCCAAUUUGAAUGUAUAUAGAACCCAUGGAGGAACAAAAAGCUAUUAUAAGAGCGGCUUCCUUGAAAGAUCCGAAUAAGAAAUAUGACCUGAGUAAAUCAUGGAAAUAUGCUGAGUUAAGAGACACCAUCAACACCUCGUGCGAUGUCGAGUUAUUACAAGCUUGUAAACAAGAGUUCCAUCGCCGUCUUAAGGUUUAUCAUCAGUGGAAAAAUAAGGCAUCGAAGUCAACAGGUCAAAGUGCUGGUGAUCAAAGAGCACCUCAAGAGGUCGUGGAAGAAGGUAAACAUUGUUGGUAACCAAGGAUGCAUCUGGUAAGACUUCCCUUAUUGAUAGAUUCAAUGCUGGUAAAUUUCCAUCAAUUACCUCUGUGUCAUGUUACUCUUGAGUCUUGUUACAAGCUAAUGGCUGUGAAUAAUAUUCCUGUGGAGUUUAUGAUAUAUUAAUUGCAGUAGAAGAUUAUGAAGACAAGAUCUUUAAUGUAAUGUUAUUCAGUUGACUCAAAAGAGAGUUUUGAAAGUUUUUCCAGUGUAUGGUGGCCAGAGAUCAGUGCUGCUCGCAUAAGGAAACCAUUUUUAUUAGUUGGACUAAAAAAGGAGCUUCGUCCUGGCAAACAAACGCAUGAACUGAGUAGGUGAAAGCUAAUGAAGGUAAAAAACUUACAAAAUAUAUUGGUGCCGUAGGUUUUUAAGAGUGCUCAUCAGUUACUAAUGAAUGAAACAAUGAGAUUUUUGAAAUGGCAGUAAACAAGUGCGAGAUUGUAGUAAAAAAGAAAGGGGAGCUCAAAAAUCAAGCUUGGGUGUAUAUCUGUUGUUGCAAGACAAACUAAUGAAGUACUUGAAAUUUAAAUCAUUAUAUAUUUCAAGUUUGCCCUGAAUACCUGAGAUGUUUGAAAUGACACUGGAAAGGGAUACAGGUUUGUAGUCUGGUGUGCAAUUUUCCACGGGCAGAGAGGGUUGGCUGACGGCUAUUUUCCAUUUACAAAACACUCAGAAUCUUAUAAAGGACAAAGCAGACCCUGAAAUAACUCAAAAACUAACCAGGUAUUUUCGGUGGUUCCAUUUCGGAGUUUGCAAAUAUCGAAAAAUAAACGAAAUGGUAAAAGAAAAUUGCUACCAGGAACCGAGAAAAAAAGUUGUUAUAGUUUUAGUUUGAAAAGAUUAACGCGAAAAGAGAAGGCUUUUAUAUCAAGCUAAGAGUAUUUUCCAUUAAUCGCUUCACGGAGAGGAAUUUUGCUAAUCACUUACAACGGACAAUAGAAAUAUGCAAAACAUAUUUAUUUGGCUAAUUUAUAUCCAUUCCGGGCAAGUCUGACAUGAGUUAGUUGAUUAUCUAUUGUUGUCAAUGCGUUAAUUGUCCGUUGGAAUUUUCUUUGUUUGUUGAAGUAAUAAAAGGCGGUUGAAUCUAGACGAAACUCAGUCUUUGCAGUCUCGAAAAGGAAGCAUCAGUCAAAGAAGUUCACUAGGAAAAGUUGGAAGAUUCUUGCAGAACGAACUACGGCGCCGAAAGAUGGGGAAGGAGAAACGUAAAGGCUUGCUCGCAGCGAGUAAUAGGUAUUAUUAUUCAUAUCAUACUUUUGUUGUCAGAUGAUGAAGGAUCGUCGCAGCAUCAGAUGUUGAAGAAUCGUCGCAGG